GGCAAUUAACACAUUCUCCAGAUUGGUUAGCGCGUGAGACUUUUAAUCUCAAGGCUCAGGGUUCGAGUCCCUGGUCG
Dothidotthia symphoricarpi CBS 119687 is the source of this 77-nucleotide non-coding RNA. The record is from the annotation of a RefSeq genome assembly. Lineage: Eukaryota; Fungi; Ascomycota; Dothideomycetes; Pleosporales; Dothidotthiaceae.